AUGGUCAAUCUAGGACAAAUGCACAGAAAAGCAGAACCGUUCAAGACAUCGUUUGUGGUUGUGCGGCCAAAGAAAGAAAACACGAAGUCAGUAGCAUGCAACUGCCAAGCAUUGAUCAGACUACACCGUACAGCGGAUAAUGGAUGGUAUAUACACGAUUUCAGACCUGAACACAACCACCAUUUGUCAUCAUCGUGCGGCAAGAAACUACAUUGGCCAUCACACAGGCACAUUGACACACACACCAAAGAUAUAGUGAAGCACUUGAGGAGCAACAACAUUGGGAUAACCAAGGUUUUUUGUGUCAUCGCAAGCUUCUUUGGAUCAAUGGAGAGUGUACCAUUCAACAAAAUAUCUCUCAAGUAUAUGUGCAAGAGGAUGAACUAA
Molecule: ribosomal RNA, 387 nt
Filed under: Triticum aestivum (bread wheat)
Lineage: Eukaryota; Viridiplantae; Streptophyta; Magnoliopsida; Poales; Poaceae
Description: partial small subunit ribosomal RNA
Source: RNAcentral